This 1434-nucleotide ribosomal RNA is filed under the name metagenome. RNAcentral describes it as "bacterial LSU rRNA". It matches the Rfam family "Bacterial large subunit ribosomal RNA", at positions 1135 to 2555 of the family's 2925-position model. The record is from RNAcentral.
AUAUAGCUCACUGAUCGAGUGAUUCUGCGCCGAAAAUGAUCGGGACUAAAGUGCAGAACCGAAACCGCGGAUACGACGUCUUCGGACGUCAUAUGGUAGGAAAGCGUAGUGUACUGGAGUGAAGCGAAAGUGCAAACGAUUGUGGACUGUACACUAGUGACCAUGCAGACAUGAGUAGCGAAAAGGCGGGUGUGAAUCCCGCCCACCGAAAGCCCGAGGUUUCCUGGGGAAGGUUCGUCCUCCCAUGGGUUAGUCGGAUCCUAAGGCGAGGCCGAAAGGCGUAGUCGAUGGACAACAGGUUAAUAUUCCUGUACCGCCGGAUGGGAAUCAUGGCAGGGACGCGGAAAGCUAAGUGAGGCGACGAUUUGAAAUGUCGCUCGAAGGCCGUAGGGGAAACCCGAGAACCGACAGGCUCCCAAGUGGCUUGCCACGAAGGAGUAUCGCUGAUGCUCGGCCGCCUAGAAAAGCUGUCCAUGGUAAUGAUCAUCUGUAGCGUCCGUACCGUAAACCGACACAGGUAGGCAAGGCGAGAAGCCUCAGGUGCGCGAGAGAAACCACGUUAAGGAACUCGGCAAAUUAGCCCCGUAACUUCGGGAGAAGGGGUGCCCCAUUAUGGUUGAAGGACUUGCUCCGGAGGCCAGAAGGGGUCACAGCAAAGAGGCCCAGGCGACUGUUUAACAAAAACACAGCACUCUGCUAACUCGAUAAGAGGAUGUAUAGGGUGUGACACGUGACCAAUGCCGAAAGGUCAAGGCAAGAGGUUAGUUCGCAAGAACGACGCUUUGAACCGAAGCCCCGGUGAAUGUCGGCCGUGACUAUAACGGUCCUAAGGUAGCGAAAUUCCUUGUCGGGUAAGUUCCGACCCGCACGAAUCGUGUAACGAUCUGGGCACUGUCUCAACGUGGAUCUCGGCGAAAUUGUAGUUCCGGUGAAAAUGCCGGAUACCCGCAGUAGGACGGAAAGACCCCGUGAACCUUUACUGUAAUCUGCCAUUGGCGUUCGAUUAUUGAUGUGUAGAAUAGGUGGGAGCCUGCGAAACGGUCUCGUCAGGGAUCGUGGAGGCAAAAAGUGAAAUACCACCCUUUGAGGAUUGAACGUCUAACCUGUUUCCAUGAAUCUGGAGCAGGGACCGUGGCAGAGGGUCAGUUUGACUGGGGCGGUUUCCUCCCAAAGUGUAACGGAGGAGUUCGAAGGUACCCUCAGCAUGGUUGGCAAUCAUGCUAAAGAGCGUAAGGGCAAAAGGGUGCUUUACUGUAAGACCGACGGGUCGAGCAGUUGCGAAAGCAGGACCUAGUGAUCCAGCGGUGGAAAGUGGCAUCGCCGUUGCUCAUCGGAUAAAAGGUACUCCGGGGAUAACAGGCUGAUCGCGCCCAAGCGUCCAUAGCGACGGCGCGGUUUGGCACCUCGAUGUCGGCUCAUCGCAUCCUGGGGCUG